This 235-nucleotide unclassified non-coding RNA is filed under the name plant metagenome. RNAcentral describes it as "partial contains small subunit ribosomal RNA, internal transcribed spacer 1, and 5.8S ribosomal RNA". The record is from RNAcentral.
UUUCCGUAGGUGAACCUGCGGAAGGAUCAUUAACGAGUAAGGGUCAUUCUGGCCCGACCUCCAACCCUUUGUUUAAUUACUAUGUUGCUUGGGCGGGCCCGUUUCACGACCGCCGGAAGUCCUAUGACUGCUCGCCCGGGCCCGCCAAUAGCCUUCUACAAACUCUAGAUCAAUUGUGAUGUCUAGGGAAUAAAUUCAAUAGUUAAAACUUUCAACAACGGAUCUCUUGGUUCUG